UGAUUAUUCACAUACAAGAUCGCUGCUGGAAAGAACAUGGAUUUCAGUUGCAAAUACCUCCGCAUUUUCCUUACGCUUCUUAUCAUGGCUGCCAUGUUGUCAGCCGCCUACGUUGAAUCGGCAACACUUGGUGGCGUUGAUAUCGGCAUGCAUCGGGACCAAAGGGGUUGGUGGGGCAACUUAUGGAGCGGAGUGAAAAAAGCUGCACAAUUCGUUGUCAAUGGAGCUGACUCUGGACAAGAAGAAGAAAAAGAAGAACGGCAAGAAUAAGAGCAAACGUUUGGAGUCCAAACAACCACAUCUCUGGAUGUUAAAUUAUCGCAACCAAUAUUAAUAUCCUCCAAUUUAAUGCUUAUUGGUUUUCAGAGCUUAUCUAUUUGCUUUUCUAACUGCCUGCUGACAAAUCACUCUGGUCGACAGAGUGAAUAUCUUAAAAUUAAUAUGGAAAACUAAUAAAUUUUUUAAAACCAA
Cloeon dipterum is the source of this 471-nucleotide long non-coding RNA. RefSeq lists it as uncharacterized. Lineage: Eukaryota; Metazoa; Arthropoda; Insecta; Ephemeroptera; Baetidae. The transcript has 3 exons. The record is from RefSeq and is a predicted model, not a curated record.